UAGGGAAUCUUCGGCAAUGGACGAAAGUCUGACCGAGCAACGCCGCGUGAGUGAAGAAGGUUUUCGGAUCGUAAAACUCUGUUGUUAGAGAAGAACAAGGACGUUAGUAACUGAACGUCCCCUGACGGUAUCUAACCAGAAAGCCACGGCUAACUACGUGCCAGCAGCCGCGGUAAUACGUAGGUGGCAAGCGUUGUCCGGAUUUAUUGGGCGUAAAGCGAGCGCAGGCGGUUUCUUAAGUCUGAUGUGAAAGCCCCCGGCUCAACCGGGGAGGGUCAUUGGAAACUGGGAAACUUGAGUGCAGAAGAGGGGAGUGGAAUUCCAUGUGUAGCGGUGAAAUGCGUAGAUAUAUGGAGGAACACCAGUGGCGAAGGCGGCUCUCUGGUCUGUAACUGACGCUGAGGCUCGAAAGCGUGGGGAGCAAACAGG
This 429-nucleotide ribosomal RNA is filed under the name Gemmatimonadota bacterium. Its description in RNAcentral is "Gemmatimonadetes bacterium partial 16S ribosomal RNA". It matches the Rfam family "Bacterial small subunit ribosomal RNA", at positions 355 to 776 of the family's 1533-position model. Lineage: Bacteria; Pseudomonadati; Gemmatimonadota. The record is from RNAcentral.